RNAcentral lists this ribosomal RNA (468 nucleotides) under uncultured bacterium. Its description in RNAcentral is "partial 16S ribosomal RNA". It matches the Rfam family "Bacterial small subunit ribosomal RNA", at positions 28 to 507 of the family's 1533-position model. The record is from RNAcentral.
GACGAACGCUGGCGGCGUGCUUAACACAUGCAAGUCGAACGGAAAGGCCCUGCUUUUGUGGGGUGCUCGAGUGGCGAACGGGUGAGUAACACGUGAGUAACCUGCCCUUGACUUUGGGAUAACUUCAGGAAACUGGGGCUAAUACCGGAUAGGAGCUCCUGCUGCAUGGUGGGGGUUGGAAAGUUUCGGCGGUUGGGGAUGGACUCGCGGCUUAUCAGCUUGUUGGUGGGGUAGUGGCUUACCAAGGCUUUGACGGGUAGCCGGCCUGAGAGGGUGACCGGCCACAUUGGGACUGAGAUACGGACCAGACUCCUACGGGAGGCAGCAGUGGAGAGUAUUGCACAAUGGGCGGAAGCCUGAGGCAGCAACGCCGCGUGCGGGAUGACGGGCUUCGGGUUGUGAACCGCUUUCGCCUGUGACGAAGCGUGAGUGACGGUAAUGGGUAAAGAAGCACCGGCUAACUACGUG